GCGCAAGCCAUGACGCGUUUAUUUGGAAUCACCACCCACUUAAAAACCACUUGGAACAACUUCAUCGGGAUCAAAAUGAAACGUUGUGGUUUUUAGGUGAUUCAGGCUAUCCCCUUCGACCGACCCUAAUGACUCCGAUAAUAAAUACCGAACCUGACUCUCCGCAAGAGUACUACACCGAGCUGCAUUGUCGGACUCGGAAUACUGUAGAGAGAUGUAUAGGGGUUCUCAAAUCGCGCUGGCGAUGUCUAUUAGUUGAUAGAAAAUUACAUUACCACCCUAUAACAGCUGGGUUAAUUACAAAUUCGUGUGUAGUUUUACACAACAUUUGUAAUGCAACUAGGUUGCCCUUUUCGCCUUUAUCGCCACAAGAGGAGCAACGUGAAAUAACUCGACAGAUUAUGUCACAUACACAUGUGGAAAGUACCACAAGAAGAAACAACCCAUUAGCUGCUGGGGAAUCGGAGAGGAAUGCACUCGUAGAGAGACUUUGGUCAGCGCGAUCAUCAUGACCUCAUUUUUUUACUCAAAUAGUACUUAAGACACGGGUCUUAACGCGACGUUUAAAAUCUUUUUUUUUUAAAUAGUUUUGUAACCUAAAGUGAACUUACAUUGUUUAACUGGUGGGGCUAUAAUUAUGUAUAGGUUAUUGUGUGAUUUACUAAUCAUAGUUUAU
Ostrinia nubilalis (European corn borer) is the source of this 676-nucleotide long non-coding RNA. RefSeq lists it as uncharacterized. The transcript has 3 exons. The record is from RefSeq and is a predicted model, not a curated record. NCBI's taxonomy places the organism in Eukaryota, Metazoa, Arthropoda, Insecta, Lepidoptera, Crambidae.